Tachysurus fulvidraco (yellow catfish) is the source of this 1382-nucleotide long non-coding RNA. RefSeq lists it as uncharacterized. The transcript is spliced from 2 exons. NCBI's taxonomy places the organism in Eukaryota, Metazoa, Chordata, Actinopteri, Siluriformes, Bagridae. The record is from RefSeq and is a predicted model, not a curated record.
ACAAUUUUUAGCGACCGACGACAUUAUGUCUAAAAUUCCCUUACCAGGACUAAUAAGUAGAGUAAUUAAAGCUGUUUUAUUUAUAGGCGUAAACAGUACGAGUGAGAAAACGUAAACACUUUUGUUUUUAUGAUUUAAAAUGUUUUUCUUACUUAUAAUUUUACCAUCAGAGGAUUUUGUAUUUCUGGCGAUUCGUGACAUUGUGUGUGAGCUGAGUCUGGAUCGAUUCAAGAAGUACAGGCCUUCUGUAAGAUAUCAGUGCAAUUGACAUCAACAUCAAGUUCAAUAGAGGACACCAAGGACAACACGUUUGCUUUCCUGGACUGUGCAGUUCUCAUAUGGACUGAUGGGAAGCCCCUCUAUCUCUCUCUCUCUUUUCUCUCACACACACAUGUACCAAUGUCUGUUUGAUUCUCACCAGCCACUACAACACAAAUUAGGAGACAUCAGGGCUACACCGCAGGGUAGAAAGCCUCCUCACCCCAGCAGAAACCAAGAAUAAAGAAAUCGACUGAAAGCAGCCCUCAUGGCAUGUGAAUAUCCUAAGUGGGCUUUCAACAAGACAGAUUCUAACAGAAAGAAGUUGUACAGUCUAUGUAUAUUUUGCCACCCUGUAGAAGACACGGCUGUCUCCGAUGUUAAUGAUGGUAUAAUAAUUUCUGAAUUAAUUUGAUUGUUGGAGACUGCAUUUGCAUUCUCCCCUUGUGAAACUUUUGGUGUCUGCUUGUUUUCUAUGAGGUUUGAUGUUAUUCAGAACAGUAUUUUUAUUUUUAUCAUCUUUUUAUUAUCUGAUGGUUUAGAGAAUUCAUUUUACAUCUUUAUAGUUUGCAAGUUGCAUUUGUAUUCAGUAAUAUAACUUAUCUAAAAUAUUUAGUUAUGUUUACAAAUAUGGUAAACAGUUCUAGCUUAUGUGCAGAUGUCUAAUCAGUGUACCUAUUUGUAUUUCGAUACAUAUGAUGGUAACAUCACCUUAUUUUUCAGGAGUCAUCGUGUGAAGGUGUUUAAUUUGUUAAAGAUUCAGUGAAGCCAAUCACAUAAAAUCAGGAUUUAAACAGACAGAACUGAACUGUUAACUUCUUUGAUGAGCAACUUAGGUAUUGACUUUGACAAUUGAGGAACUGUGGACAAGAGUGCAUCUAAAUUAUUAUUAAAGUACAAUAUUCUAGAUAGUACUCUAAACAAGAACUGUAACUGACUGUAUCUACCUCUACAGCAUUAGUGAUGUAUCCCUAAAAUACAGCAUGUGCAGGGAGCAUGUUAUUAAAAAGUGACAAUGAAAAAUGCUAGUUUUUAGAAUAAAUCUUUAGAGAUGACAUGAAACCAACACUGCUUUACCUCAAUGUCUGCCAAUUAAUUGUUGAAUAAAACUGUACCAGGUCAUA